AUGAUGAAUUGCAAGAUUUCAAAUAUGCCUCUCUCAACUUCUGAAAAACUAGCUAAGGAAGAAGGUGAGCCUUUAAGUGCUGAAGAAUCUACAAACUAUAGAAGUGUGGUAGGUGCCUUGCAAUAUCUAACACUUACAAGACCUGAUAUAUCUUUUCCUAUCAAUAAAGUAUGUCAGUUCUUGCAUACCCCUACUCUUGCACACUGGACAACAGUAAAAAGGAUCUUGAGAUAUCUGAGAGGUACUAUGAGUAUAGGUUUGAAAGUCACAAGGUCAACAUCAACUUUGGUGAGUGCAUUCUCUGAUGCUGAUUCGGCAGGUUGUCCUGAUGAUAGAAGAUCAACAGGGGGCUUUGCUAUUUUCUUUGGACCAAAUCUUAUAUCAUGUAGUGCACGGAAACAAGCUACUGUGUCAAGAUCAAGCAAAGAAGCUGAGUAUAAGGCCUUGACCAAUGCUACGGCAGAAUUAAUAUGGAUUCAAACCUUCCUGAAUGAGGUUCGUGUAAAUCACUCUCCUGCUGCACGUUUGUUGUGUGACAAUAUUGGUGCCACUUAUCUUUCAACAAAUUAA
This 570-nucleotide ribosomal RNA is filed under the name Triticum aestivum (bread wheat). RNAcentral's name for it is "partial small subunit ribosomal RNA". The record is from RNAcentral. Lineage: Eukaryota; Viridiplantae; Streptophyta; Magnoliopsida; Poales; Poaceae.